RNAcentral lists this long non-coding RNA (2842 nucleotides) under Homo sapiens (human). RNAcentral describes it as "HSALNT0214152". The record is from RNAcentral. Lineage: Eukaryota; Metazoa; Chordata; Mammalia; Primates; Hominidae.
CCUAAAACUUAGAGUAUAAUUAAAAAAAAAACAAAAAACAAAAAAACAAAAAAAAAAAAACUGAAGAAUACCAAGAUAAAAAAAAAAAAAAAAUACCUGGUACAGCAUAAUUUAUAAAGAAAACAUUUUAUUUCUUAUUUGUAUGGAAUCUGAGAAGUCCCAGGUUGAGGAGUUCUGUCUGGUCCCACCUCUCAAUACUGGCACUUUGGGGAUGAAGUUGCAACAUGAAUUUUGGAGAUGACAUUCAUACCACAGCAGAAAGGAAAAGGUUUCUAGAACAUUUUGACUACAGACAUUUCGUUCUUAAAGAAGUCGUGUUAUACUUAGGUAAUAUUUGUUAGAUUCUUUGAGGAGUGAGAAACGGCUUGAAUUAUCAAUAUGCUUUCCCAGUUUGCUUUAUAAAACCAAGUGGCUAUUCUCUCAUUAGUGAAAAUCAUAAAACUCUGCACACUUAUGUCCCUGUGGGUAUAUACGCUUUACUUUUCUCUUAUCCCUUAUUUCCUCCUUGAUUCUAUGAGACUAGUUAUGGGUAAUGCUUGCUCCAUAGAAGUUUUAAUCGAAUAGCUUUCUCACUUUGAUUUGCCUCUAGAUAAUAGUUUGCUUUCUUAAUUAAUGCUGUAAAAACACACAUUAUGAUCUUUACCUGAAAGAUGUUUUGAUUAACGCCAGUACCUAUGGUUUUGGUUGACUAAAGUACUCUUUUCCCCCUGCAGAGAAGCUGUGCUCCGUUAAGCAGCUGCUUCAUUUCACCCCAGAGGUUGCUGCAUUUUGCUAACUGUAAAAAUAAUGUUUUGUUUAUGAUACAAUUUGUAAGGAGUUCUUCAUAUCAAUGGAAAUAAAAUUCCCUCCCACCCCCAACCCACCCACCCAUUCUCUGAGAAAGAUAAGCAUCUCUCUCUCACUCUGGCUCUUCCUUUUUGCUCUUUCUCAUUCGAUUUCCCCCUUCCUCUCAAAUGCAGUCUCUGUGUCUGUAUAACUUCACAUAAUAGAAUGCCUAUGAGCACUCUUGAAAAACUACUCGUCAUAAUAAUGAUAAUGAGAAUAGUGGCAAUUUAUUGAGCAAUUCCUAUGUGCUUGGCUUUAUUAUAAGGUUUUUACAUGGCAUUGUCUCAAUUGUUAACAAACAGUCCUUUAAAGUAUAAAAUAUUAUUAUUCCCCUUGUAUAGAGGAAACCAGCUGAGGUUCAGAGAGGUUAUACAGCAACUAAGCAGAACAGCUGCGCUGUGCCUGCUAUGAAUCCAUCCAUUCUUUGAAUUGAAAUUAAGCAUUCUCAUUCAGUACAUGGCUACUAGUCACUUGAAAUAACAGACACUAACAAAUAUUAGCCAAUGUCCAUAUAGUAGUUAGAGUUUUUGUUCUAAAGUGCAAAUUGGAUCAUGACACUCUCCCACUUAAAAUUAUUCAGUUGACCCCAGUUUCCUUCAAAAUAAAGUUCACUUUUGUUGUGUAUCCUGUCUUCAUGGUCUGGUUCUAGCUUAUGAUCUGGAUUCCAUCUCUCCUAAUCCCUAUCCUGCUUAAGUCAGCCUUAUUGCCAGGGCCUUGUAUAUUUCCCUUUGUCUAUUUGCAAUAUACUUCUUUCCCUACCCAGUCUGGAUCCUACUCCUCUUGGAGUCUGAACUAGGAAAAUUCUACUUCUGGAUGGCCUUCUUGACAGUCCCAGCCUCCCCUAUUUGGUUCUGUCUUCAUGCUCUUGUAAUCCCAAGCUUGCAUAUCUCUUUAUUUGCUUACUGGAUUUUUCCCUCUUACUGCUAUCCUGGGGGAAGGAGCAGCUCCUUCCUCAUUACGUUUCCAUCCACAAAGUGCCUGUCAUUGAGUAACAAUAAUAAAAAGAUAUGUUUAACAAAUGAAUAAACACAGAACUAAGGCUGAACUUAAAUAAUACCCGGGGACAAAUUUAAGAGUUAACAUAUGUUAAUGCUUGUCCCUUCAAACUUACCUACAGGAAAAUGAUUUCUGUCUCCUUAUAAGUCAGUGCAUAGUGGUUGGUUUAGGGAUGGCAUGAGAACAAAACCUGGCAAAAGAACUAGGUUAAUUUGGCUAGAACUAUUGGGAACUAUCGGGAAGAAUAGUUCUUCCCGAUAGUUCUACAGAAAACUUUUUCUGUAAAGAACUAGGUAGUAAUACUUUUUGCUUUCUCAAGGGCAGUAAGCUGAGGAAAUAUAGAUCUGGAUCUGUUGAUGUGUUCCAAAUCAAAAAGCCUGGUCAAAAAGAAAAAUUAUAUAUAUAUAUAUAAAAUAUAUAUUUAUAAUGUAUAUUUAAUAUAUAUUAUAUAUUAAUAUAUAAUGUAUAUACAUAUAAAAUUGCCUAAGUCAAUCUAUGUUGGGGUUCUACAACUUUUUGCUGAAAUAAUCUUGACUAACACCCUGCUUUGAUUUAUGCUUUCAUAUCUCUUCCCUAUUCCGCCCUUCUGUCAAUCAUUAAAUGUUCGCCUGAGUUAUUCUGAAAUGUAGAUGUGACUAUGUAACUUCCCUUCCUAAAGUGCCUCGGUGAUUCCUCAUGACUUUUCAAUGACUGCUUUGGUGUUGAAUAGAACCCCGGUCUGCCUAUCCAGUUCCAUUUAAUGUUACCUCCUCAUGGGCCACAGUUCUAAGUCUACGCUUGACAUUCGCUGUACAUAACAUAAUGUUUCACUUUUCCGGGGCUUGGCAGAUACACAUUACUUUCUGUCUGAGUAGCGUUCUCACCCAGACUUGUGAAUGUGUGUUCUUACAUUAAGACCUUGAUGAAAUAUCAUCACUUCCCUAUACUUCCACUUAGUUGCUUCAUCUUUUUCUCUCAUGGAAAAUUUAAACCUGCUUCUUCUAGCAUUCAUUGCACUGCAUGGUAAUUGUUUAAUCCUGUG